AUGUUGCUGGAAAAACUAGUGCCUCCAAGCACAUUGAGGAAGUUGGAGAUAAGUGGUUAUAACAGUGUCAUCUUUCCAGGCUGGGUAGUGGGCCAACUACCAAACCUGAACUCACUGGUUCUCAGAGAUAUGGCAAACCUGGAAGAGUGGGACACUUCAUACUCCACCGGUGAGGAGAACAUGUUAACCAGAGUAGAGAUACUUGGUUGCCCAAUGCUAAGGAUGAAAGGGCCUCUGCCUAAAUCUGAAAUGUGGGAGAUAAGAUGCAGUGAUAAUGUGUUAUCAUCAUGGGAUGAGUGCAUUGUGUCACACACUAAUGCUUCUUCCUCUUCAUGUACUACUUGGUUGUCAGUUAGAGACUGCAAGGUGCCUCUGCAUGAGUGGAGGUUGCUUCAACACUUCUCAGGACUUCUUUAUUUGGAUAUUGACAAUUGUGGCGAUCUAACCGGCUCACCAGAUAUCAUCCAACUACUAUCCUCUUUGGAGAAACUACGCCUAGAAGACGAACACAUAGAAGAACUGCCGAAAUGGUUGGUUGAGCUCCCAUCUUUGAAGAAUCUGAUUAUACGGAAUAGCAAUGGUGUAAAGGAGUUGAACGAGAACAUGAGGCAACUCACAAAGCUUGAAUCACUUGAACUUGAGUCCUGCAAAAGCAUAUCUGUAGUGCCACAUUGGCUAGGCGAAUUGACCUCUCUCAAGAAACUUUGGAUAUCUAACAAUAGAGGCUUGAGGUCUUUGCCGGCAAGCAUACGACAACUCACCAGCCUCCAGAAAAUAGUACUUAUUAACUGUGAUGCAUUAGAGCACGUGGUUGCUGAAUCAGAGGGGGGAAAGAUGAAGCUAACUGACAACCAACAAAGGGAAUCUGCCCUGCCCACCUCUCUAAAGAGUCUUUAUCUGAGUGGAUGUGAUGGUAUCAAGUCUUUUCCUGAGGGAAUACAUCAACUCACUAACCUCAAACACCUAGAAAUAAUUAGCUGCCCUCGACUAAAGAAAUGGUGUGAAUUAGAGGAGACCAAGACCUUUCUGGCUCGCAUAGAAAUGAAGACGAUUGCGAUCCACUAA
Molecule: ribosomal RNA, 1065 nt
Filed under: Triticum aestivum (bread wheat)
Lineage: Eukaryota; Viridiplantae; Streptophyta; Magnoliopsida; Poales; Poaceae
Description: partial small subunit ribosomal RNA
Source: RNAcentral